GACGAGCGCUGGCGGCGUGCUUAACACAUGCAAGUCGAACGGAAAGGCCCUGCUUUUGUGGGUUGCUCGAUUGGCGAACGGGUGAGUAACACGUGAGUAACCUGCCCUUGACUUUGGGAUAACUUCAGGAAACUGGGGCUAAUACCGGAUAGGAGCUCCUGCUGCAUGGUGGGGGUUGGAAAGUUUCGGCGGUUGGGGAUGGACUCGCGGCUUAUCAGCUUGUUUGUGGGGUAGUGGCUUACCAAGGCUUUGACGGGUAGCCGGCCUGAGAGGGUGACCGGCCACAUUGGGACUGAGAUACGGACCAGACUCCUACGGGAGGCAGCAGUGGGGAAUAUUGCACAAUGGGCGGAAGCCUGAUGCAGCAGCGCCGCGUGCGGGAUGCCGGCCUUCGGGUUGUAAACCGCUUUCGCAUGUGACGAAGCGUGAGUGACGGUAAUGGGUAAAGAAGCACCGGCUAACUACGUG
RNAcentral lists this ribosomal RNA (468 nucleotides) under uncultured bacterium. RNAcentral's name for it is "partial 16S ribosomal RNA". It matches the Rfam family "Bacterial small subunit ribosomal RNA", at positions 28 to 507 of the family's 1533-position model. The record is from RNAcentral.